UACGUAGGGUGCAAGCGUUGUCCGGAAUUAUUGGGCGUAAAGAGCUCGUAGGCGGUUUGUCGCGUCUGCUGUGAAAACUCGGGGCUUAACCCUGGGCCUGCAGUGGGUACGGGCAGACUAGAGUGCGGUAGGGGAGACUGGAAUUCCUGGUGUAGCGGUGAAAUGCGCAGAUAUCAGGAGGAACACCGGUGGCGAAGGCGGGUCUCUGGGCCGAUACUGACGCUGAGGAGCGAAGGCGUGGGGAGCGAACAGG
This 253-nucleotide ribosomal RNA is filed under the name uncultured bacterium. RNAcentral's name for it is "partial 16S ribosomal RNA". It matches the Rfam family "Bacterial small subunit ribosomal RNA", at positions 524 to 776 of the family's 1533-position model. The record is from RNAcentral.